RNAcentral lists this ribosomal RNA (265 nucleotides) under uncultured bacterium. RNAcentral's name for it is "partial 16S ribosomal RNA". It matches the Rfam family "Bacterial small subunit ribosomal RNA", at positions 793 to 1055 of the family's 1533-position model. The record is from RNAcentral.
GUCCACGCCCUAAACGAUGAUGACUAGUUGUUGGGGGAGUUAAAUCCCUUAGUAACGCAGCUAACGCGUGAAGUCAUCCGCCUGGGGAGUACGGUCGCAAGAUUAAAACUCAAAGGAAUUGACGGGGGCCCGCACAAGCGGUGGAUGAUGUGGUUUAAUUCGAUGCAACGCGAAAACCUUACCUACCCUUGACAUGCCAGGAACGCUGCAGAAAUGCAGUGGUGCCCGAAAGGGAACCUGGACACAGGUGCUGCAUGGCUGUCGU